RNAcentral lists this unclassified non-coding RNA (271 nucleotides) under Hevea brasiliensis (rubber tree). Lineage: Eukaryota; Viridiplantae; Streptophyta; Magnoliopsida; Malpighiales; Euphorbiaceae. The record is from RNAcentral.
GGAUAAAGCCACCCCUUUUGGUCCUCCUCUUGCUUUGUCUCUGCUCUCACUGAGAAAGCAAUAAGCAAAGUUAAGCAACGCGAAAAGCUCUAUAACUAUCUCCUAGCUUUCUUCCUUUCUUCAACAAUUUUGCUUGUAGAUGCUCUUUUGGACUUUAAAAUCGUUACCUCCAUUCACUUUGACUCGCCCGAGUUCAUCUAAUGGCCAAUAACCCCACGGACCCUCCAGCCGAUGAUUUCCUCCAGGAAAUCCUUGGCCUCCCUAACUUCGC